CCAAAAUAGAACCCACCCACCCGCCACCCGACCAAGAUUCAUCUCCGGCUAUGAAGUUACGGUACAAGCGAUUGUUUGGACGAUUCAUACCCAUUUCAAUUUUCCCACUUAUUUUUUCCAGAAUUGCGUUUGGUCUUCAAUUUUAAUGGGGUUGAUUGCGUCUUUUACUUUCCAGAAUUGCAACUGGUCUUCAGUUUUUGUUGAGAUUGUUUAUGGUUUCCGUAUAGCCUGUAGAACCACCCAGCCAUCUAGUGUUUUCUUUCAUGAUUGCAGUUUCUUAAUGAAGUGAAAUCUGUUAAGUAAUUUUAAUAUUAUUACAUAAGAAACUCAAACAGAAGACCCAUCUUGAUAUAACACGCUGUUUCACCUGAAUGUUAGGAGGAAAGUCACUCUCAUAAACUUAUUUGGUCCAUUAUUUACUCUAGCUUGGAGGUUCAACCAAUUAUUCUACAUCUCUUUGUUCUUCCCUAUAUACAGAUUCUUCAUAUUAUGUGCAAGACAAGCAAAUAAUAGAGUAAGGUCAACAAGGCAAUCCUAUUUAAUCAUAUUUUUAGUAGUGAAAAUGAACUCUUAUCAGGAUUCAAUUAACCAAGCUUGCAGUCCAAAUUAGACGAAAUUAAGUGUUUUUGGUUGAUGGAGUGCACUAGAAUUUUUGGUUGAUGGAAUGCACUAGAAGAUUAAAUGCAAGAACAACAUUUUACAACAGCUUCUUGUUUUACCCAGAAAGUAGCAUAGCUAUGGAAGGUCCAUUUCUUUAACUUGACUAUUAUUUUUGGAAGGCAGUUGGGCUACAGUUUGAAGAAAAUGAAGCUUGCCACUGAUUGCUAUUAUAUCAAGAAGUCGGGCUAUAUGUAAUUUGCAUGUGCAAGUUUUCUAUUCUCAGUUUAAUUUUCCGUUGUUGUUAAUAUUGGACAUGUAUAAGUUGGAAAAGAUGUAAUUUAACUUAUAUACUUAAGGGCCUGUUUGGGAGUUGUGUUAAAUUCUCAGUUAGAAAAAUCCAACAACUUUUGUUUCAGGAUUUCAUUUUCCUUUGUUGUUAAGUAAUUUGUAAUUUUUUGUUUAGAUAUAUGAGAAUAUUGCGGCAACUGUU
This 1090-nucleotide long non-coding RNA is filed under the name Olea europaea subsp. europaea. Lineage: Eukaryota; Viridiplantae; Streptophyta; Magnoliopsida; Lamiales; Oleaceae. The record is from RNAcentral.